UGGGGAAUAUUGCACAAUGGAGGGAACUCGGAUGCAGCGACGCCGCGUGAGUGAUGAAGGAAUUCGUUUCGUAAAACUCUGUUCUAUGGGAAGAAAAGGACUGUACAAUAGGAGAAAGCUCCGGCUAAAUACGUGCCAGCAGCCGCGGUAAUACGUAUGGAGCGAGCGUUGUCCGGAAUUAUUGGGCGUAAAGGGUGCGCAGGCGGCUUUACAAGUUGGAUGUGAAAUAUUGUGGCUCAACCACAAACGUGCAUCCAAAACUGCAAAGCUUGAGUUAAGGAGAGGUAAGUGGAAUUCCUGGUGUAGCAGUGGAAUGCGUAGAUAUCAGGAGGAAUACCGGUGGCGAAGGCGACUUACUGGACUUAAACUGACGCUCAGGCACGGAAGCGUGGGGAGCAAACAGG
Molecule: ribosomal RNA, 404 nt
Filed under: Fusobacteriota bacterium
Lineage: Bacteria; Fusobacteriati; Fusobacteriota
Description: Fusobacteria bacterium partial 16S ribosomal RNA
Rfam family: Bacterial small subunit ribosomal RNA
Source: RNAcentral